This 519-nucleotide ribosomal RNA is filed under the name uncultured bacterium. RNAcentral's name for it is "bacterial SSU rRNA". It matches the Rfam family "Bacterial small subunit ribosomal RNA", at positions 19 to 518 of the family's 1533-position model. The record is from RNAcentral.
CUGGCUCAGAACGAACGCUGGCGGCGUGCUUAACACAUGCAAGUCGAACGCGAAAGGGACUUCGGUCCUGAGUAAAGUGGCGCACGGGUGAGUAACGCGUAGAUAACCUGUCUUCAUGUCUGGAAUAAUACGCCAAAGGGGUACUAAUACCGGAUAUUCUUGCUUUUCAUAAGUUAUGCAAGCAAAGGUGGCCUCUGCAUAUGCUACUGCAUGAAGAGGGGUCUGCGUACCAUUAGCUAGUAGGUGGGGUAAUGGCCUACCUAGGCGACGAUGGUUAGCGGGUCUGAGAGGAUGAUCCGCCACACUGGCACUGGAACACGGGCCAGACUCCUACGGGAGGCAGCAGUGAGGAAUAUUGCGCAAUGGGGGAAACCCUGACGCAGCGACGCCGCGUGAAGUGAGGAAGGCCUUCGGGCCGUAAAGCUCUGUCAAGAGGAAAGAAGUGUACAAUGGCUAAUACCUGUUGUAUUUGACGGUACCUCUAAAGGAAGCACCGGCUAACUCCGUGCCAGCCGCAGC